AAUUAUUGGGCGUAAAGGGCUCGCAGGCGGUUCCUUAAGUCUGAUGUGAAAGCCCCCGGCUCAACCGGGGAGGGUCAUUGGAAACUGGGGAACUUGAGUGCAGAAGAGGAGAGUGGAAUUCCACGUGUAGCGGUGAAAUGCGUAGAGAUGUGGAGGAACACCAGUGGCGAAGGCGACUCUCUGGUCUGUAACUGACGCUGAGGAGCGAAAGCGUGGGGAGCGAACAGGAUUAGAUACCCUGGUAGUCCACGCCGUAAACGAUGAGUGCUAAGUGUUAGGGGGUUUCCGCCCCUUAGUGCUGCAGCUAACGCAUUAAGCACUCCGCCUGGGGAGUACGGUCGCAAGACUGAAACUCAAAGGAAUUGACGGGGGCCCGCACAAGCGGUGGAGCAUGUGGUUUAAUUCGAAGCAACGCGAAGAACCUUACCAGGUCUUGACAUCCUCUGACAAUCCUAGAGAUAGGACGUCCCCUUCGGGGGCAGAGUGACAGGUGGUGCAUGGUUGUCGUCAGCUCGUGUCGUGAGAUGUUGGGUUAAGUCCCGCAACGAGCGCAACCCUUGAUCUUAGUUGCCAGCAUUCAGUUGGGCACUCUAAGGUGACUGCCGGUGACAAACCGGAGGAAGGUGGGGAUGACGUCAAAUCAUCAUGCCCCUUAUGACCUGGGCUACACACGUGCUACAAUGGACAGAACAAAGGGCAGCGAAACCGCGAGGUUAAGCCAAUCCCACAAAUCUGUUCUCAGUUCGGAUCGCAGUCUGCAACUCGACUGCGUGAAGCUGGAAUCGCUAGUAAUCG
This 795-nucleotide ribosomal RNA is filed under the name Bacillus sp. Sb3-24. RNAcentral describes it as "bacterial SSU rRNA". It matches the Rfam family "Bacterial small subunit ribosomal RNA", at positions 549 to 1344 of the family's 1533-position model. Lineage: Bacteria; Bacillati; Bacillota; Bacilli; Caryophanales; Bacillaceae. The record is from RNAcentral.